This 331-nucleotide ribosomal RNA is filed under the name Planctomycetota bacterium. RNAcentral describes it as "bacterial SSU rRNA". It matches the Rfam family "Bacterial small subunit ribosomal RNA", at positions 1 to 331 of the family's 1533-position model. Lineage: Bacteria; Pseudomonadati; Planctomycetota. The record is from RNAcentral.
UUGAUGGAGAAUUUGAUCCUGGUUCAGAACGAACGUUGGCGGCGUGGAUGAGGCAUGCAAGUCGAUCGGUAAGGCCCCUUCGGGGGUACACGAGAGGCGAAAGGGUGAGUAAUAACUGGUUAAUCUACCCUUGAGUGGGGGAUAACCCUGGGAAACCGGGGCUAAUACCGCAUAAGACCACAGGGAGGCAUCUCCCAGGGGUCAAAGUCUUCGGACGCUCGAGGAGGAGACCAGUCCGUAUCAGGUUGUUGGCGGGGUAACGGCCCACCAAGCCUGCGACGCGUAGCCGGCCUGAGAGGGUGGUCGGCCACACUGGGACUGAGACACUGCC